AUGGAGUUCUGGCUGAGCUGGGUUCUCCUUGUUGCCAUUUUAAAAGAUGUCCAGUGUGAGGUGCAGCUGGUGGAGUCUGGGGGAGGCUUGGUCCAGCCUGGGGGGUCCCUGAGACUCUCCUGUUCAGCCUCUGGAUUCACCUUCAGUAGCUAUGCUAUGCACUGGGUCCGCCAGGCUCCAGGGAAGGGACUGGAAUAUGUUUCAGCUAUUAGUAGUAAUGGGGGUAGCACAUACUACGCAGACUCCGUGAAGGGCAGAUUCACCAUCUCCAGAGACAAUUCCAAGAACACGCUGUAUCUUCAAAUGAGCAGUCUGAGAGCUGAGGACACGGCUGUGUAUUACUGUGUGAAAGA
This is a non-coding RNA of Homo sapiens (human), 353 nucleotides long. The record is from the annotation of a RefSeq genome assembly. NCBI's taxonomy places the organism in Eukaryota, Metazoa, Chordata, Mammalia, Primates, Hominidae.